GAUGUCCCAGGUUUGGGAAAAACGCAGAGCGCUGGCUUUUCCCGUUUAAAGGAGGUUAAUGUCAGACCCAAACAGCUUUGAUGAUGCGUUCACUGACGGCGAGCGGCAGCAGCUCCUCCUCCCUCCACAGGUUCUGACAAAAGUCUGUCCGGCUGUUUCGUUUUCUGUCCGGACGUCUGUGGAAAGAAAACUGUCUGACACUCUGCAUGAUCUCCAUCCUGGUUCUGGCUCAGAACAAAGCAGAAUUAUCUAAUCAGGACAAUUCUUGGGAAUAGUGGUUUGAAUGUUUCUGUCAGGAUUUCUGUGAGGAUGGUAGAGAAUUUAGAGACUUUUUUUCUCCCUAUACCUGCCUUGAAGAUUUCUUACCUGAAAUGGAGGCUGCAGCUCCGUCUCCAUGGCAACCAUGCAGCCUGCCUGCAACAGGUCCAGUUUAUCUGUAAAAAACAGCCUAAACCUCGAUGUUGGUGAGAGUUACUGGAUGCUAUUUUAGGUCAUGAAUGCAUCCCCUCGAUGAAAGGAUGGACAGUGGAAGAGAUCCCUGUCCUGUUGUUGUUUUUGACUGUAGUUUAUUUUUUUGGCGGUCAGACGUUUCCGCAGACAAAUGUUUGUGUUUUUAAUUCAAACUAUUGUUUUCCUGAACCAAUACUCUUAAUUUAUUUGAAUAUGUGGAGGUGCACAGUUCCUGUGAGCCUUUACUGUGAUCCAGAUCAGGAGGUUUUAGUAUUUUAAGCUGGAAAAGAGUCAGGAGGGUUUGAAAGCUCCAUCUUUGACGUGGAUAUCCACCUGAUCCUGACGUGAUGCUGGAGUUUGUCUAACUUUGAUGGGAAAACAGGAAGUGUGGCUGUCACAAUAAGAGAUGAACUAAAGGUUUUGUCAGUUCUUCCCUGCUCCACGUUUGUCGCUCUUUGUUUGGAAAAGACAGAAAAAUAAUUAACUCAACUGGUCAAAGUGUCCACGAUGUGCCUUAGUAAUCAGAUUACAGUUGGGUCGUUUUCUCUGAUGUGUAAAUGAAAAGUUAAAGGAUUCCUCACAUGAAGGAAGCUUUAUAUGAAGGGGUUUCUUAUUAUUGGUGUGCAUAAAGACGUUUGAUGAUUGUCAAUAAAGAACCCACAAAAAUUGUGUUUUGGAUGUUUUUAAAAUGUUCUUGUGGUAUUUUUCUGAUGAUGGUGGAGACAUUUAACCCUUGUGCUAUCCUAGGCACUUUAACGUUGGGAGUUGGGUCAUCUAGACCCACUAGACAGAGGUAGGGAGAACACGUCAAUGGAAGGGGGGUUCAUCUAAGAUAGUACAAGGGUUAAAAAUUGGGAGAUUCUGUCUAUCGUUUUGAACAUGUGACGUGGGGGACCACCAGGCUCCACCUACUUUUAUUGCAUGAAAUCAUGAAAAAAUAAGGAUUGUCAAGAACAUGUUGUAAAGAUGAAUCAGAUCAAAAAGGAUUGUUUUGACCACUAG
Molecule: long non-coding RNA, 1452 nt
Filed under: Oryzias sinensis (Chinese medaka)
Lineage: Eukaryota; Metazoa; Chordata; Actinopteri; Beloniformes; Adrianichthyidae
Description: lncRNA (ENSOSIG00000004946.1)
Source: RNAcentral